AACGAACGCUGGCGGCAUGCCUAAUACAUGCAAGUCGAACGAUCACUUCGGUGGUAGUGGCGCACGGGUGCGUAACGCGUGGGAAUCUACCCUUGGGUUCGGAAUAACAGUUAGAAAUGAUUGCUAAUACCGGAUGAUGACGAAAGUCCAAAGAUUUAUCGCCCAAGGAUGAGCCCGCGUAGGAUUAGCUAGUUGGUGAGGUAAAAGCUCACCAAGGCGACGAUCCUUAGCUGGUCUGAGAGGAUGAUCAGCCACACUGGGACUGAGACACGGCCCAGACUCCUACGGGAGGCAGCAGUAGGGAAUAUUGGACAAUGGGGGCAACCCUGAUCCAGCAAUGCCGCGUGAGUGAUGAAGGCCUUAGGGUUGUAAAGCUCUUUUACCCGAGAUGAUAAUGACAGUAUCGGGAGAAUAAGCUCCGGCUAACUCCGUGCCAGCCGCCGCCGUAA
This 449-nucleotide ribosomal RNA is filed under the name uncultured bacterium. Its description in RNAcentral is "partial 16S ribosomal RNA". It matches the Rfam family "Bacterial small subunit ribosomal RNA", at positions 29 to 523 of the family's 1533-position model. The record is from RNAcentral.